GAUGAACGCUGGCGGUAUGCUUAACACAUGCAAGUCGAACGGGGUCUUCUGACAUAGUGGCGGGAGGGUGAGUAACGCGUUAGAAUCUUACGAUUGGUUGGGGACAACCACUGGAAACGGUGGGCAAUACCGGAUAAGCUUGAAGGGGAAAGAGUAAUUGCCAAGUGAGGAGCUCGCGUCUGAUGAGCUGGUUGGUGGGGUAAGAGCCUACCACGGCGUCGAUCAGUAGCUGGUCUGAGAAGAAGAGCAGCCACACUGGGACUGAGACACGGCACAGACUCCUACGGGAGGCAGCAGUGGGGAAUAUUCCGAAGUGCGAGAGAGUCUGACGGAGCUAUACCGCGUGAGGGAGGAAGGCUCGUGGGUUGUAAUCCUCUUUUCUUUGGGAAAAUAAUGACGGUACCAGAGGAAUAAGCAUCGGCUAACUCCGUG
This 432-nucleotide ribosomal RNA is filed under the name uncultured bacterium. Its description in RNAcentral is "partial 16S ribosomal RNA". It matches the Rfam family "Bacterial small subunit ribosomal RNA", at positions 28 to 507 of the family's 1533-position model. The record is from RNAcentral.